Triticum aestivum (bread wheat) is the source of this 682-nucleotide long non-coding RNA. RefSeq lists it as uncharacterized. Lineage: Eukaryota; Viridiplantae; Streptophyta; Magnoliopsida; Poales; Poaceae. The record is from RefSeq and is a predicted model, not a curated record. The transcript has 3 exons.
ACUCGUCUGCUAUUCUUGUCAAUAGGAAAGUUACUUCUUUCAGCAAUUACUUUCAGGGGUCAGCUACUGCCAUUCUCCAUGCUACGCUUUGCUUUUUGAAAAUCGUCAAAGGAAACAAAUGCAAAACUCAAUUGCGCAUGAAUUAAUGCUGCAAAUGCAACACCUCGAGUGUCACUAUGAUGUUAAACUGGAAAGCAACCUCCUCCUCCUGGACGGGAAUCCAACACCUCGAGUGAAAAUUUGCGACUUUGUUUACUCAAAGGUGUGAUAGUUAUGUUUCCAGGAUUGCUAGAGUUUAUAUGACUUUGACUACUUGAUCAAAUUAUGGCAUCAAGGUUUCAGUCUGAUUUGCUGCAUUCCAAACAAAAAAACAACCUUUGGUACUCCCAACAUACAUAGCACCCGAAGUUUUUCCGAGAAAAGAAUAACAAGGGGUCAGCUACUGCCAUUCUCCAUGCUACGCUUUGCUUUUUGAAAAUCGUCAAAGGAAACAAAUGCAAAACUCAAUUGCGCAUGAAUUAAUGCUGCAAAUGCAACACCUCGAGUGUCACUAUGAUGUUUAACUGGAAAGCAACCUCCUCCUCCUGGACGGGAAUCCAACACCUCAAGUUUCAGUCUGAUUUGCUGUAUUCCAAACAAAAAAACAACCUUUGGUACUCCCAACAUACAUAGCACCCGAAGU